Molecule: ribosomal RNA, 372 nt
Filed under: uncultured organism
Description: partial 16S ribosomal RNA
Rfam family: Bacterial small subunit ribosomal RNA
Source: RNAcentral
GUAGGUGGCAAGCGUUGUCCGGAAUUAUUGGGCGUAAAGCGCGCGCAGGCGGUCCUUUAAGUCUGAUGUGAAAGCCCACGGCUCAACCGUGGAGGGUCAUUGGAAACUGGGGGACUUGAGUAGAGAAGAGGAAAGCGGAAUUCCAAGUGUAGCGGUGAAAUGCGUAGAGAUUUGGAGGAACACCAGUGGCGAAGGCGGCUUUCUGGUCUGUAACUGACGCUGAGGCGCGAAAGCGUGGGGAGCAAACAGGGAUUAGAUACCCUGGUAGUCCACGCCGUAAACGAUGAGUGCUAAGUGUUAGGGGGUUUCCGCCCCCUUAGUGCUGCAGCUAACGCAUUAAGCACUCCGCCUGGGGAUACGGCCGCAAGGCUG